Molecule: ribosomal RNA, 397 nt
Filed under: uncultured bacterium
Lineage: Bacteria
Description: bacterial SSU rRNA
Rfam family: Bacterial small subunit ribosomal RNA
Source: RNAcentral
GUCACGGCUAACUACGUGCCAGCAGCCGCGGUAAUACGUAGGUGGCGAGCGUUAUCCGGAAUGAUUGGGCGUAAAGGGUGCGUAGGUGGCUUGUUAAGUCUGAAGUCAAAGCCGGCAGCUCAACUGUCGUACGCUUUGGAAACUGGCAAGCUAGAGUGCAGGAGAGGGCGAUGGAACUCCAUGUGUAGCGGUAAAAUGCGUAGAUAUAUGGAAGAACACCAGUGGCGAAGGCGGUCGCCUGGCCUGCAACUGACACUGGAAGCACGAAAGCGUGGGGAGCAAAUAGGAUUAGAUACCCUAGUAGUCCACGCCGUAAACGAUGAGAACUAAGUGUUGGGGGAAUAACUCAGUGCUGCAGUUAACGCAAUAAGUUCUCCGCCUGGGGAGUAUGCACGCA